GGGGUUGUAGCUCAGUGGUGGAGCAUUUGACUAGCAUGUAUGAAACACUGAGUUCGAUUCUCAGCACCACA
Molecule: transfer RNA, 71 nt
Filed under: Marmota monax (woodchuck)
Lineage: Eukaryota; Metazoa; Chordata; Mammalia; Rodentia; Sciuridae
Description: tRNA.Ala
Rfam family: tRNA
About the family: Transfer RNA (tRNA) molecules are approximately 80 nucleotides in length.
Source: RNAcentral